CAAUUUCUGUAUGGAUGGAUCGGAUGAGAAAAACUGUUCAUCUUCUUCACUUUCAGCUUCGGCACUGGGUUACGUUGGCAAAUGGCUUAUUAUAGCUGUUGUUGUCGUUGCCAUAGGGUGCAGUUUGGGUGGCUGUGUAUACAAGAAGCUGAUAAGUAGCACGCCUUCCCCGUCUCCCUCACCUGCAUCUACACACAUACCUCAGUGCGAAGAAGCUGUGGAGAUGCCAGCAGCUGACCCCUUCAUAUUCAGAAGUUCUUACAGUUACGGG
Liolophura sinensis is the source of this 271-nucleotide long non-coding RNA. RefSeq lists it as uncharacterized. Lineage: Eukaryota; Metazoa; Mollusca; Polyplacophora; Chitonida; Chitonidae. The record is from RefSeq and is a predicted model, not a curated record. The transcript is spliced from 3 exons.